Molecule: small nuclear RNA, 102 nt
Organism: Eremothecium sinecaudum
Lineage: Eukaryota; Fungi; Ascomycota; Saccharomycetes; Saccharomycetales; Saccharomycetaceae
Source: RefSeq, a predicted model, not a curated record
UCAGAAAAGCCCUGUCACAGGCUAUUAUCAUCAACAUCCAAAGAUUAAACAGUCCUUGGAGAUUACAGUUGACCGUCGUGAAAAUGUAAUAUCAUCAUAAAC